UACGUAGGGGGCAAGCGUUGUUCGGAAUUACUGGGCGUAAAGGGCGCGUAGGCGGCCUGUUAAGUCGAACGUGAAAUCCCCGGGCUCAACCCGGGAACUGCGUCCGAUACUGGCAGGCUUGAAUCCGGGAGAGGGAUGCGGAAUUCCAGGUGUAGCGGUGAAAUGCGUAGAUAUCUGGAGGAACACCGGUGGCGAAGGCGGCAUCCUGGACCGGCAUUGACGCUGAGGCGCGAAAGCUAGGGGAGCAAACGGG
RNAcentral lists this ribosomal RNA (253 nucleotides) under uncultured bacterium. RNAcentral describes it as "partial 16S ribosomal RNA". It matches the Rfam family "Bacterial small subunit ribosomal RNA", at positions 524 to 776 of the family's 1533-position model. The record is from RNAcentral.